CCCCCCCCCCCCCCGACAACCAUCCGCCACGCCCCUCGCCACGCCCGCUGCCCUCGACCUUGUCCACCGCCUUCCCCCGCAUCCCUCCCUCACCAUGCCUGCCUCCUGCUGCACCACGCCCUCCCCUCCAGCACGCCACGCCCGCUCCACGCCCUGGCCCGUGGAUGUGCGCAGUGGGGCAGGCGUCGCGCACGGAGGCAGGCGCCUAGGUUGGGGUGGGCUGACCAAGCCGGUGUCUGCUGAGACUGCCUGGAGACCAAAUGGAAGCUCCCUGGUCCGUGUGUGAAACCAUGAAUUCACUGCUAGAAUGGAAAUGCCGGUACCGGGAACCUGGAAGUUGCCUUUUCAAUGCCGUCUUUCCUGCCAUCCCCUCCAUCCCUCUGGCUGCAACGAUCUUCCCUCUGGACCGGGUGGUCAGGCUCGCUCCAGAGCUGGCCUUGGACUCCGGCUGGCUGAACGGUCCACUCCUUGGUCAGACCUCUUGGAAGGACUGCCCCACCCAUGUUAUAAAAGGAGAAAACGUCACAGUGGGCAGCCCCCAUUCCUGCGUUAGACAGACAGGAAACAGGCGCACAGUUCUGCAUUGCUACCUGCUUGUCAAAUGAGUAUUGGCCACCCCAGUUCUGUGCAGAGAGGAUGCAAAACAGCAGAGUAUCUGUGGUGCAACUUUCUGGAGCAUCAAUUUUACUACAACGUUUGGAAGAAACAAAGUUAAGUAGUUUCCAAGUUACCAUCGGCUUCUCUGCUCCGUUCAAGCGGCCUCUCCUCACGUUCUCUCCUGAACCGAUUCCAUUCCUGCUUCCUCCACUGCACUUCGCUGAAGUGGCUUGUAGCCAGGUCUCCAAUGAUUUCCGUUUUGCUCAAUUCAAGGUUAAGUUCUUGUUCUUAUCUCACUCUUUCAGCUGCAUUCGACACAGAUGAUACAACUGAGCACUUCCUCCUUCCUGAAACACUUUCCUCUGGAUUUCCCAGCCCCUCCCCCUCACGCUGUCUUCUUCCCCUGCCCCUCCCCCACCACAUCUAGUAACCCUCACCCCCUUCUCUUUGCUCUGUGACCCCUCUUCUCAGAGAGAUCCCAUCCAGUCUCCCAGCUUUGAAUGCCAUCUGCUGGUCACCCCCAGGCCUGGGUUCUCUUCCCUGAGGGGAGCACCCAGGAGUCAUCCUUGGCUCUUCCCUUCUCACCCCACACGCAGUCUCACAGCAAGUCCCUGCAGCGUGCAUCCUGAUUGCAGCUUCUCGCUGUCUCCAUUUCUAGAACCGGCUUCAGCUGCCUUUCUCUCUUACUGGUCUCCUGCCAAGGACAGUCUCCUAACCGUCUCCCUGCUUCCUCUCUUGCCCUCCUCCAGCCAUUCUUCACUCAGCAUGCAGAGUGACCUCUUGAAAGCAUGAAGAGCAAGGAUAUGCGCCACCCACCUCCCCAUUCAAACUCUGCCACUGCUUCUCAUUGUGAGAGAAUAAGAGCUUAGACAGCCUGGCCCCUGCCUGCUCCUUCAGCCUCCUCUCCUACCUUCUUGUUGAGACUUACAUGUGAGAUGUUCUGGUAUCUAGAACUGAAAGCAAUCUUAACUCACAAAUAGAUAUCAGAUCAUCGAAUCUAGAGCAAAGGGCAUAGAAGGAAAAGUUGAAGGGAGAAUGAAAGGUGAGAAUUUUUUAAGCGCCAGAAACUAUGAACACAUAACAGAUCUGUAUGAAUAUGCUCAAAAGAAUGUGGUAACAAAGUUAAAAAAAAGUGUGUCAACAGACUUGCAAAGAAGUAGAAAUACUUUUGACCAUAAUUUGCAAACAAAAGCUACACUUAGUACACAUUACAUUUCCGGACGUAAUGCAAUAAAAUUAGAAAUAACAGAAAUAGAGAACUUCAAAAUGUUCAGCUUUUUGGAAAUGUUAAAAUAUUGUUGUAAAUAAGUUAAUUCUUGUGUGAGGGUUCAUAUCCACAAAACAAUUACAGUGCCUGUACACACACGAGCUUGCUGAUGCAUCCAGAUGUUUGCAGUGGUGGGGAAAGGACGAGCUCUCUGACCCAGAAGCUCUUGGAGCGACAGUGCCUGCACACACACGAGCUUGCUGAUGCGUCCAGAUGUGUGCAGUGACAGGAAAGGAGCUCUCUGACCAGAAGCUCCUGGAACGACAGGGUCAGUGCACACACAAGCUUGCUGAUACGUCCAGAUGUGUGCAGUGGUGGGAAAGGAUGAGCUCUCUGACCCAGAAGCUCCUGGAACAACAGGGCCUCUGCACACACGAGCUUGCUGAUACAUCCAGAUGUGUGCAGUGGUGGGAAAGGAUGAGCUCUCUGACCUAGAAGCUCCUGGAGUGACAGUGCCUGUGAACACAUGAGCUCGCUGCUGCGUCCAGAUGUGUAUAGUGGUGGGAAAGGAGCUCUCUGUCCAGAAGCUCUUGGAGCGCCAGUGCCUGUGCACACACGAGCUUGCUGAUGCAUCCAGAUGUGUGCAGUGGUGGGGAAAGGACGAGCUCUCUGACCCAGAAGCUCUUGGAGCGACAGUGCCUGCGCACACACGAGCUUGCUGAUGUGUCCAGACGUGUGCAGUGACGGGAAAGGAGCUCUCUGACCAGAAGCUCCUGGAACGACAGGGUCAGUGCACACACGAGCUUGCUGAUACAUCCAGAUGUGUGCAGUGGUGGGAAGGACGAGCUCUCUGACCUAGAAGCUCCUGGAGUGACAGGGUGAUGUUCAUCGGAACCCCAGCAACCCCCUGUGUCAUUUACCAUCUUGUGACCAGUGGGAGCCGGGUGGAGGUGGCCGGGAACUGUAACUGUUACAGACGCUGGUCAUAAACCCAAGGCCGCCUCCCUUGGUGCCUGCACUUGACCCUGCGGUUGUUUCCUGCACUGGGGUUCCCGGAAGCCCCACCGCUGGACCUGUGCUGGUGGACAGGACCAGACUGCCCUCUGAUGGCAGCAGUUUGAAAACUGGCACCAGCAGCUGCCAUGGAAAAAAGUGAUGGCCCAGGGGACUGUGUGACCCUCCCACGGAGGGAUCAGGAUCCCUGCAGGGCUCCCGGGCAGGGCUCAGAGCCCAUCUGCUUCCUGCCCUUUCUCCUCUGCUGCUCUCCUCUGACUAUGGGAGUCGGGGAAGCAAACAGUCAUGAAAAAUGGCACUUCUAUUGGCUGUGUCUGUAUGUGGAAGUGCACAAAUGAAGGAAGAUUUUAAAGCAGAACACAGAACAAUUUGUGCUGUCUGAUUAAAAUCUGUCAGAUAUGUUCAUUAACAAGUUUGGAAGAGAAUUUGGAAAUGGCUGAAAUUUUUAAUAAAGUUCAUUCUUUUAGUUUGUUUGAAUUUAA
Molecule: non-coding RNA, 3300 nt
Organism: Equus caballus (horse)
Lineage: Eukaryota; Metazoa; Chordata; Mammalia; Perissodactyla; Equidae
Source: RefSeq, a predicted model, not a curated record